CUCUGUGUAUCCUUGGGUCCUGUCAGCUAUGGCAUUCUCCCUUCCUAACCAUGGAAGAACAUACUCUUGUUUAUUGGCAAAGCUGUCACCAUUUAAUUGGUAUCAGAUUUUGACUUGCACAAGUAACAUUC
This 131-nucleotide small nucleolar RNA is filed under the name Dasypus novemcinctus (nine-banded armadillo). RNAcentral's name for it is "Small nucleolar RNA SNORA24 (ENSDNOG00000041356.1)". It matches the Rfam family "Small nucleolar RNA SNORA24". Rfam says of the family: ACA24 is a member of the H/ACA class of snoRNA that guide the sites of modification of uridines to pseudouridines. Lineage: Eukaryota; Metazoa; Chordata; Mammalia; Cingulata; Dasypodidae. The record is from RNAcentral.